UUUAUGGAGAGUUUGAUCCUGGCUCAGGAUGAACGCUGGCGGCGUGCCUAAUACAUGCAAGUCGAGCGAACGGACGAGAAGCUUGCUUCUCUGAUGUUAGCGGCGGACGGGUGAGUAACACGUGGAUAACCUACCUAUAAGACUGGGAUAACUUCGGGAAACCGGAGCUAAUACCGGAUAAUAUUUUGAACCGCAUGGUUCAAAAGUGAAAGACGGUCUUGCUGUCACUUAUAGAUGGAUCCGCGCUGCAUUAGCUAGUUGGUAAGGUAACGGCUUACCAAGGCAACGAUGCAUAGCCGACCUGAGAGGGUGAUCGGCCACACUGGAACUGAGACACGGUCCAGACUCCUACGGGAGGCAGCAGUAGGGAAUCUUCCGCAAUGGGCGAAAGCCUGACGGAGCAACGCCGCGUGAGUGAUGAAGGUCUUCGGAUCGUAAAACUCUGUUAUUAGGGAAGAACAUAUGUGUAAGUAACUGUGCACAUCUUGACGGUACCUAAUCAGAAAGCCACGGCUAACUACGUGCCAGCAGCCGCGGUAAUACGUAGGUGGCAAGCGUUAUCCGGAAUUAUUGGGCGUAAAGCGCGCGUAGGCGGUUUUUUAAGUCUGAUGUGAAAGCCCACGGCUCAACCGUGGAGGGUCAUUGGAAACUGGAAAACUUGAGUGCAGAAGAGGAAAGUGGAAUUCCAUGUGUAGCGGUGAAAUGCGCAGAGAUAUGGAGGAACACCAGUGGCGAAGGCGACUUUCUGGUCUGUAACUGACGCUGAUGUGCGAAAGCGUGGGGAUCAAACAGGAUUAG
This 798-nucleotide ribosomal RNA is filed under the name Staphylococcus aureus. RNAcentral describes it as "bacterial SSU rRNA". It matches the Rfam family "Bacterial small subunit ribosomal RNA", at positions 1 to 781 of the family's 1533-position model. Lineage: Bacteria; Bacillati; Bacillota; Bacilli; Caryophanales; Staphylococcaceae. The record is from RNAcentral.